Long non-coding RNA from Notolabrus celidotus (New Zealand spotty), 297 nucleotides. RefSeq lists it as uncharacterized. Lineage: Eukaryota; Metazoa; Chordata; Actinopteri; Labriformes; Labridae. The transcript has 3 exons. The record is from RefSeq and is a predicted model, not a curated record.
GCAAAUAGUGCAAAACCGAACGGGCUUUCUGGUGUCAAAAAGUGAAGUGCUGAAAAAAAUCACACUCACACCAAGAUAAUGGCAGCUGUCCAUUAGCACCUUCACAGCUAUAAAAACAACACAGCACCAGCCGACCAAUCAGGGAGGUCCUGGAGGAGCUCAGAGUCUGAACAUUUCGUCCUGUUCUGAAACAUCCACCUGCACAUGUGUGUGACAUCCUGAGUCAUCACGAAGCUUCAGAGGUGGACCGCAGGAUAAGGAAGACGCUCAGAGUUUAACCCGACUGAGAGAGAGAGG